RNAcentral lists this non-coding RNA (746 nucleotides) under Pongo abelii (Sumatran orangutan). Lineage: Eukaryota; Metazoa; Chordata; Mammalia; Primates; Hominidae. The record is from RNAcentral.
UGACGGUAAAUACCGAGUGUCAACUUGAUUGGAUUGAAGGAUGCAAAGUAUUGAUCCUGGGUAUGUCUGUGAGGGUGUUGCCAAAGGAGGUGAACAUUUGAGUCAGUGGGCUGGGGAAGGCAGAUCCAACCUCAAUCUGGUGUGCCAUAUAAUAAGCUGCCAAUGAAUAUAAAGCAGGCAGAAAAACAUAAGAAGGUGAGACUGGCCUAGCCUCCCAGCCUACAUCUUUCUCCCAUGCUGAAUGCUUCCUGUCCUCAAACAUCAGACUCUAAGUUCUUUAGUUUUGAGACUCGGACUGGCUUCCUUGCUCCUCAAGCUUGCAGACAGCCUAUGGUGGGACCUUGUGAUCAUAGAUCCUUGAUUAAUACAGAUGGGGUCCCACUAUGUUGCUCAGGCUGCUUUCAAACAGGUUCUUAACUCUGUCACCCAGGCUGGAGGGCAGUGGUGUGACCACAGCCACUGCAGGCUCGACCUCUGGGACUCAGGUGAUCCUCCCAUCUCAUCCUCCCAAGUAGCUGGGACUACAGGUUGCCUCUUCCAGAUCCCUUUUGAUCUAUUUUCAGCUAUGGAUUCUUGAGAAUCAAGACUAAGCAGCCUGAAAUGAAGGAGUAAGAGUAUCACCUAACAGUGAUUUUGCUGCCAUAGUAGCUGUUUGUAUACUGGCCAUAUGCCUAGGUAAAAUGAGGCCAGAUCACUCUAAGAGUUUUCUAUCAGAGUUGGUGGUGAACUACUGCUCACUGAUAAUG